UAUACCGGAUAUUGAGCCGCUUGGGCAUCCAAGUGGUUUGAAAGCUCUGGCGGUGCAGGAUGAGCCCGCGGCCUAUCAGCUUGUUGGUGAGGUAAUGGCUCACCAAGGCGACGACGGGUAGCCGGCCUGAGAGGGCGACCGGCCACACUGGGAGUGAGACACGGCCCAGACUCUUACGGGAGGCAGCAGUGGGGAAUAUUGCACAAUGGGCGAAAGCCUGAUGCAGCGACGCCGCGUGAGGGAUGACGGCCUUCGGGUUGUAAACCUCUUUCAGCAGGGAAGAAGCGAAAGUGACGGUACCUGCAGAAGAAGCGCCGGCUAACUACGUGCCAGCAGCCGCGGUAAUACGUAGGGCGCCAGCGUUGUCCGGAAUUAUUGGGCGUAAAGAGCUCGUAGGCGGCUUGUCACGUCGGUUGUGAAAGCCCGGGGCUUAACCCCGGGUCUGCAGUCGAUACGGGCAGGCUAGAGUUCGGUAGGGGAGAUCGGAAUUCCUGGUGUAGCGGUGAAAUGCGCAGAUAUCAGGAGGAACACCGGUGGCGAAGGCGGAUCUCUGGGCCGAUACUGACGCUGAGGAGCGAAAGCGUGGGGAGCGAACAGGAUUAGAUACCCUGGUAGUCCACGCCGUAAACGGUGGGCACUAGGUGUGGGCAACAUUCCACGUUGUCCGUGCCGCAGCUAACGC
RNAcentral lists this ribosomal RNA (682 nucleotides) under Streptomyces sp. RNAcentral describes it as "bacterial SSU rRNA". It matches the Rfam family "Bacterial small subunit ribosomal RNA", at positions 165 to 858 of the family's 1533-position model. Lineage: Bacteria; Bacillati; Actinomycetota; Actinomycetes; Kitasatosporales; Streptomycetaceae. The record is from RNAcentral.